This is a long non-coding RNA of Oryza sativa Japonica Group (Japanese rice), 818 nucleotides long. RefSeq lists it as uncharacterized. The record is from RefSeq and is a predicted model, not a curated record. NCBI's taxonomy places the organism in Eukaryota, Viridiplantae, Streptophyta, Magnoliopsida, Poales, Poaceae.
ACCGCGCGAGCUGGUGACGCGUGUCCAGCUGCCGCCCGCGCAAGCCGCGUCUAUCGCGAUUUCGUUGGAGCCGAGCCGACGCCUAUCGCGCCGAGUCCAAGCCGCAGGCCCGCACCUUGAAGUCGAAUCGUCGCUCUCAUCUGCUAUGGCAACGGCCGGCGGCGGCUGCUGCUGUUGCUUCUGAAACGGUGGCGGCGCACUAUAAGGGCCCUGCUGCUCCUCGGAGUUGAGUCCCCCCUACAGCGGGCGACGGCGCGUUGGCGCAAGGCCGCGAGGCGGCAGCCGACAGGCAGGCGGACAACGGAGCGUCAGAGCGGCCGCGCGAGCCGCGAGCAGCAGGCCGGUGGCAGCGUGGCGCCGCGGGAGCACGUGAGCCGGAGCAGCAGUGCAGCAGGAGUCCGGCGGCGGCGCGGGAGCUCGCUGCGCGUGAGCAGGAGCAGCCGAGCAGCAGCAGCGCCGCAGGAGUGAGCAGGUCUACAGGGAGCAGUAGCAGCUGCAGGCCAGCAAGAAGGAAAAGAGAAAUGGAAGGUAGCAGCGCCAAAGGAGGAGCUGGAGACUCUGAUAGUCUGUCCAGUGUCCACUGCAGAUAAGGAACUUGAAGUGCAUAUGGCCAAUAUAGCUAAAUUAGCUUAUAGCCUUGUACUACUCCUGAAGGGCAUUGUUUUGGUUGUCUUUUUCUUCUGAAAUCUGGACCAAAUGGUCUUGCAUGCUGUGAAUAUAUGGUGUUGUAAACAGUUGUCAAUGAGCACAUUGUAAUUUCUACUUAUCAGAUUGGAUACAGUGAUCUCAUAUGAAUACAUAUUUCCAGAUUUCAUCAA